GUCCAGACUCCUACGGGAGGCAGCAGUGGGGAAUAUUGCACAAUGGGCGAAACCCUGAUGCAGCAACGCCGCGUGAGUGAUGAAGGCCUUCGGGUUGUAAACCUCUGUCUUCAGGGAAGAAAAUGUCGGUACCUGAGGAGGAAGCCACGGCUAACUACG
This 159-nucleotide ribosomal RNA is filed under the name uncultured soil bacterium. RNAcentral describes it as "partial 16S ribosomal RNA". It matches the Rfam family "Bacterial small subunit ribosomal RNA", at positions 329 to 505 of the family's 1533-position model. The record is from RNAcentral.